Molecule: ribosomal RNA, 274 nt
Filed under: uncultured bacterium
Lineage: Bacteria
Description: partial 16S ribosomal RNA
Rfam family: Bacterial small subunit ribosomal RNA
Source: RNAcentral
AUACGGAGGGAGCGAGCGUUAAUCGGAAUUACUGGGCGUAAAGCGCGCGUAGGCGGCUUUGUAAGUCGGAUGUGAAAGCCCAGGGCUCAACCCUGGAAUUGCAUUCGAUACUGCAUGGCUAGAGUAUGGUAGAGGGAAGUGGAAUUUCCGGUGUAGCGGUGAAAUGCGUAGAUAUCGGAAGGAACACCAGUGGCGAAGGCGACUUCCUGGGCCAAUUCUGACGCUGAGGUGCGAAAGCGUGGGGAGCAAACAGGAUUAGAAACCCCAGUAGUCC